This 119-nucleotide ribosomal RNA is filed under the name Clostridioides sp. ES-S-0056-01. RNAcentral's name for it is "partial 23S ribosomal RNA". It matches the Rfam family "Bacterial large subunit ribosomal RNA", at positions 1 to 118 of the family's 2925-position model. RNAcentral also lists the same sequence under 2 other names. The record is from RNAcentral. Lineage: Bacteria; Bacillati; Bacillota; Clostridia; Peptostreptococcales; Peptostreptococcaceae.
UGGUCAAGUUAUUAAGGGUGCAGGGCGGAUGCCUUGGCACUAGGAGCCGAUGAAGGACGUGAUAAGCUGCGAUAAGCUUCGGGGAGUUGCACGUAAACUUUGAUCCGAAGAUUUCCGAA